Molecule: long non-coding RNA, 4884 nt
Organism: Bombus huntii
Lineage: Eukaryota; Metazoa; Arthropoda; Insecta; Hymenoptera; Apidae
Exons: 4
Source: RefSeq, a predicted model, not a curated record
AUGUGUAUGCAUGAAUACGAAUGAGUGAAAAUGAUAAAUCCGAGAUGGAAAAUGUGAAUAUAACAGCACGAAUCAAACGAAACGAGUAACAAAAAAUGAAGCAACUGUGCUGUGUACGUAUAUACAUACACAUUUACAUACGUUGCACGAGUGCUCGAAGCGGAAAAAGAGGACGAGUAGGGAUUAAAAAAUUAAUAAAAAGGAAGGAAAUUCAAAGGAAAGUGGACGUUUCUGUCGUUGGAUUAGCGAGACAAUGUCAAAAUGCUUUCCGAAGUGAAAAGAUAGGUUGUUGCAAAUUUUCGUGAAACAAUAAUUGAAAUAGAAAUGGAAAACGGAAUCGAAAAAGUAUGCCAUCUGUGGUUUCAAUGAAGUUUACUUUAUAAUACUUUCAAAUACAUAAAACGUAUCAUGUCAUAAAAUGUUAUAAUGUAUAACAUUAAUAACUUAUGAAAAUAUUAAUUAGCAAGAUACGAUACGAUGCAACUAAUUUAACAGAAAUUACAAAAAUUUUAAUGAAAUACUUAAGAUAUAAUUGGAUACCAUACGAUUAAUUAAUUAUUUGUAUAAUUGAUUUUUUAGUGUUCGUUGAAUUAUGAGGUAAUUAUGCUAGAGACAAUUUUAACACGUAUUAUUCUCAUAAAUUACGAUUUAUGUGCGUUACAUAUUAUAGCCGUGAUACAAUUUCCAUUUAUAUUGAUGUACCAAAGGUUACGUCAAAAUGCACUUAUUUCUGCAUAUUUUAACAUUCGUUAUAAACGGUGGCAAUCAACCAUACUGAACAAUCAAUUUUUCUUCAGCCACAUGGAAAAUAGCAUGUACAUCGCCUCGCAAUUACAUGAAAGCUUCGUUUCUGUUGUAUUAAAAAUACGAGAAUAAUACUAUAAUAAUAAGUAACACCAAAAAUCACAUUUUUUGUCUUCGUAUCAUACAAACGAACAAUAUAACAUAUGAAAUUUGAAUUGUUUAUUUAGAAGUUUGCCAGUGUUAUAUUAAAAUUCAAUACGUGACAGACUGAAAUGUUAACAGACCUCAAACAUUAUUAAAAAAAUCUUCUCUGUCAUAUUUAUAACUCGACAACCAAACAAUCUGAGAAUAAUGAACAAUAUAAAUAAAGAAAUAGCUGCAUAGCGUUUGACACUUGCAGAUGCCAAUUAAAAAUAAAUAUCAUCACGUCGUAGUAUUCUACGAUGACUCCAAUAAAGAAUAAAUUCAUCCUGAGUCUCCUAUUCGUAAUUCUCUAACUAAAUUACAUUCUGUCAAACAUAAGCAAGUAUCCAUAUAUUUUUCAGCGCUAGCGUAUAUAACGAAAGUAACAGAGCAAUGUGAUGAAAAUUCAGAACAAAAGAGUAAUAUGUGGAACUUGUUUCAAAGAUGAAAAACCUCGUACAGCUUCAGAAAGACUAUAACAGAAGCCGUUUCAGAGUUGAAAUGAAACGCUCUCAAAAUGAUCGCGAAAAUGAAAACGUGACACAUUGUGUAACGUUUGGCAAACUUUUAACAAAUACGAAUUAAGAGAGAAAAAGAGGAAAGUCGGGAACGAAAGGAAAGGAAGAAAAGGGAAAGGAAGCAAGCGGCAUGUAAGUGGAUAUGUGAGGUGAAGCAAGAAUAACAGAUCGUGGCGGGUGAUUGUUUUGGGGCGUCUGCGCCUGGUUGUGCGAGAGAGGACCACCGAGCGACCAGCAGGAGGCGUCUAAGCCCUCGGGAUGCCAGUCGAUUCCGAGCCGCCGCGCGGUUGAGAUGCGAGCCAUCGUGCUCCUAAAACCUCCGUAUCACCGUAACCUCGUGCACUUCUUAUCUCUCCUCGAUCGUCCAUUUUAUCCUCGAGCUUCCCAUUCGCCACCUGAAUCAUCUUUAUCCUCUCAUUUCCCCCGUGUUGCCCGAUAACGCGCUCGCAAUCGGGUAAAAAUUAUCGCGCAACAUAAAAAAAAUAAUCGCACACGUGAAUCGACGUUUUUUCUUGGAGCGUUUAUUUUCACGGUGUAACUUUCCUCGGAGAAGUUUCUGGAGGGUCUCUUCGGUGUUUCGGUGAUUCUGAAACAAGAUUACAAGAAGUUUCACACAAUUGAGAAGGAAAAGAUCGGACUAAUGGCCGUGAACUCGCCAGAUCAGGUGUUCUCCAUGUUCUCCGGAGGUAUCUUCGGAUUUGGUCGUCGCUGGCUUCAAGGUAUCCCGAGGGAUUAGAAUAACGAGAAAAGUAAACCAGCAUCCGAGAACAAACAAGAAUAUCUUCCGGGAUCAGUCGGUGCACGGUCGCUCGUUACACCGUUGUUGAAUUAGGAUCGGUGACGGCAAACGGAAUAAUUUCCCUGACGCGAAAUAUCUUCGAACGCGACACGGGACAUCUACGAAAAUUCGAAUCGCCGUGAAACGCGGGAAAGUUUGCAGCAACGAGGGGAGAAAGAAAGGAGAACUCGUGAUCAGUAUUUCGAGUUUGUUGCAUGUGCGAACUUGGCGCCACCUAUCCCGCGCUAUACUUAUAACGCGUAUAACGUAUCUAGGUACAGCAUCGUAUAUAUUAACCGUGUCUCUGAAGACAUCCCCGGAAGGGUUCAAUCGCUGUUCUUUUCAAGGGAUGACAUUUCAAUCUGGAUCGUGGCGUUGUUCGAUAAAUUUUCGGAUGGCCAUACAGACGCUGGUCACGACCGUACGAGCUCCACUGGCAUCGCUCUAAUUCAUUUAUUCUAAUUGGAGUUUUCUAAUUGACUACAUUGGGACGCGCCAAGGUGAUACAAAGAGACGGACAGUCCCCUAGGAAAUGAAAUCGAGCAUCGAUGCGACCCGACACUCGCCUAGAACGUAACACGCCUAUACUCAUCAGAGAAUAACGAGAAAAACACGUGCAUAUGUGUAUACAUACGCAUACGACCUAUACAAGUAUAAUUUUGUAUUUAUCUACAUUUAGAAUAUAGUUGUUAAGUAUAAUUAAAAUUAAGAUAAAGAGGGUGAACACGAGUGAUCCUCUUGAAGAUGCUUAUGGUAGCAAAGCUUUAAUCGAAAGUAGACAAAUCCUUUUGCAAAGGGUGGUAGAGAGAGACUCGAAUUCAUCGAGAAAUCAAUUAAUCUGGCGCGCGUAUUACGAUCGAUUUUAUGCCAGUGAAACAGGGCACAACGCCAGUUUUGUCCCCUGACGGCGAUUCAAUCCAGCUCUGACAUUACGACGUCAUUGGCUCACUAUAGUGCCCAAUUACGAAUGCAUCUGUCCAAGACGAAGUCACUUUUAUAGCAGUUUCAUGUUGGAGUGCAAGUAAAGAAAGCAAAAGAUCGACCCGAGACCUCGAGUCUUUUAAAUUCCGACGAAUUUUCAUCCUUUUAUGAAAUUGUUGUAAUCUACGAUCGACCAUCCAAGGUACAACGCAUGGACCAACGAGAAGAGAAACAUUUGUUCAAAACGGAAGAAAAUGAUUCGUAGUUUCUAUCAAAGCAUAUCUCGAUUUAUAUAUAUACCGAUCUGUAUCUAAUCUUUGAUAAUUCACUGGGGCCAUUCUGUAAAGGAAAAAUCAGUCAAUUAAUACAGAGAGAAAGACAGAAGGAAAAGGAACAAGAAAGAAAGAAGAAAAUAAAAAGACUAUCGCGAAGUCUUGAUAUUUUUGAAAUCUUUAUAAAUGCAAUAUCGAACCUGCUGAAGAUUAUCCGCGAGCUUGUUAAGCUCGAUAGCAUCGAACUUCGAAGAGAUUUCUUAAUUAUUGAAAAACGACACACCGAGGUGACUCUCCCGAAUACAAUUGCUUCGUAUUAUCAACGGUGUAUUAAAAAAAAAGCAAAGCGUUCAAAGUGUUAAGUGCGAAACGAUCGGCAGGUAUUGUGCACAGCCACGUUCAGAACGAAGUGUGUUAUAAUACUUGUUGCACGAAAUGUCUUGAGUAGAUGUCAAUGUACUUCUUCCGGUUGCACAACCUGCGCCGUCAGGCGGAGGAGGUACGAAAAAAGCGGCAGAAGGGAAGAUCGAGUCAAAGUGGUCAACGUGGGACCAAUUCUACGGACCAAUCGCAACCGACAGCCGGAUCCAUGCACUGUUGCAACAGGGUCCAUCGGGGCCCGAGCAAGCUCUUCGAGCGUGCUCCAUUGCAGCCCAGCGAUUCCCUCGAUGAAAUAGCUUUUCAAAUACCCAGAGUAUUUUUGGCCGAGAGUGAGGAAUGUGUAGAUUUUGACGUAACGGAGAAGUUGAAAUAUGAAUAUAAAUGAUGCGUGUAGGUGUAAAAAAAAAAAAGAUGUUCAUUCUAGUGGGAAAAUUCUGACAGAAUAUGGUAAAAGAAUAUACAAUAGCAAGUACAUAAAUAAGAGAAAUAAUAAUACCAAAUUUAACUCGAUGUAAUUUGUAAUUACUACAGAAAAUUAAACUUCGAAUAUUAUUUUUUAUGUAUAGUGCUACAAAGUAUAAGAAACAUACUUUCAAAUCUUAUAUUAUAGAACAAGAAAUCCAAAUAGAAUGUUUACUGGAAUAAUUUGUUUUAGUUCUAAAUUCAUUGCAAGAUACAGCUGCGAUUGUAAAUACCAAUUAGACGGUAAUUAAUACAAUCCGACAUAUUUUUUAUUAUUCUGUCGUUAAAUUCAAUCUAAAUCUAUAAACGCGAUAAAGGCCAAAAGCCAAUAAUGUUCAAGUGAUAAAUAUAAAAUUGAUAAAAUUGAUAAAAUUAACAGAAAUUGGUUUCAUGUGUCUAUUGGAAAUCUUCAUAAAUAUAAAAAUAUGAAAUAUAACAAAUAAAAAUAAUUUAGAAACCCUAUAUAAGAGCUUCUAUAUUGAUCUCCUUCCUUAUCUCUUGAAUAAUGUGCUUUGGUUUAAUGUAGAAUUAUUAAGAAUCUAUACUUUUUACACGUGAUGUCUCAAUUUAGAAAGGGAAGGGAUAUGAAGGUUUAUGAAAAUCGAGAAAGUGUUUUCUCAUAAAA